This 220-nucleotide unclassified non-coding RNA is filed under the name air metagenome. RNAcentral describes it as "partial contains small subunit ribosomal RNA, internal transcribed spacer 1, and 5.8S ribosomal RNA". The stretch from base 1 to 46 matches the Rfam family "Eukaryotic small subunit ribosomal RNA", at positions 1786 to 1831 of the family's 1831-position model. The record is from RNAcentral.
AAGUCGUAACAAGGUCUCCGUAGGUGAACCUGCGGAGGGAUCAUUACCGAGUGAGGGCCUCUGGCCCGACCUCCAACCCUUUGUUGACCAACACCUGUUGCCUCGGGGGCGACCCGGCUUCCGCGCCGGGGCCCCCGAUGGACCAUUUCAACUCUGUGUCUGUACGUCGGAGUACUUGAUGAAUCAAUCAAAACUUUCAACAACGGAUCUCUUGGUUCUG